AGUCGAACGGCAGCGCGGGGCAACCUGGCGGCGAGUGGCGAACGGGUGAGUAAUAUAUCGGAACGUACCCAAGAGUGGGGGAUAACGUAGCGAAAGUUACGCUAAUACCGCAUACGAUCUAUGGAUGAAAGUGGGGGAUUCGCAAGAACCUCAUGCUCCUGGAGCGGCCGAUAUCUGAUUAGCUAGUUGGUGAGGUAAAGGCUCACCAAGGCGACGAUCAGUAGCUGGUCUGAGAGGACGACCAGCCACACUGGAACUGAGACACGGUCCAGACUCCUACGGGAGGCAGCAGUGGGGAAUUUUGGACAAUGGGCGCAAGCCUGAUCCAGCAAUGCCGCGUGAGUGAAGAAGGCCUUCGGGUUGUAAAGCUCUUUUGUCAGGGAAGAAACGGUCGGAGCUAAUAUCUCUGACUAAUGACGGUACCUGAAGAAUAAGCACCGGCUAACUACGUGCCAGCAGCCGCGGUAAUACGUAGGGUGCAAGCGUUAAUCGGAAUUACUGGGCGUAAAGCGUGCGCAGGCGGUUUUGUAAGUCUGUCGUGAAAUCCCCGGGCUCAACCUGGGAAUUGCGAUGGAGACUGCAAGGCUAGAAUCUGGCAGAGGGGGGUAGAAUUCCACGUGUAGCANUGAAAUGCGUAGAGAUGUGGAGGAACACCGAUGGCGAAGGCAGCCCCCUGGGUCAAGAUUGACGCUCAUGCACGAAAGCGUGGGGAGCAAACAGGAUUAGAUACCCUGGUAGUCCACGCCCUAAACGAUGUCUACUAGUUGUCGGGUCUUAAUUGACUUGGUAACGCAGCUAACGCGUGAAGUAGACCGCCUGGGGAGUACGGUCGCAAGAUUAAAACUCAAAGGAAUUGAC
This 858-nucleotide ribosomal RNA is filed under the name uncultured bacterium. RNAcentral describes it as "bacterial SSU rRNA". It matches the Rfam family "Bacterial small subunit ribosomal RNA", at positions 60 to 914 of the family's 1533-position model. The record is from RNAcentral.